This is a non-coding RNA of Arachis ipaensis, 199 nucleotides long. The record is from RefSeq and is a predicted model, not a curated record. Lineage: Eukaryota; Viridiplantae; Streptophyta; Magnoliopsida; Fabales; Fabaceae.
GCGUCGCUCUUCUCAUCCUCUACAAUUCUAUCUAAGUUUUGUGGGAUACUCCAACAUGGAUUCUAAGCGGGUUAUAUCUCUACUUCAUAUGGGCUAGGGUAAGAAGUGCUCAAACCCUUGUGAUUUAUCAUUUUUAUGAGUCCUAGGUUGAUGUAUGUAUGUGAUAUUGGUUAUGUUAGUGUAUUUGGUGAUGUUGGUG